CCCUACGGGGCGCAGCAGUGGGGAAUAUUGCGCAAUGGGGGCAACCCUGACGCAGCAACGCCGCGUGCAGGAAGAAGGUCUUCGGAUUGUAAACUGCUGUCGCAGGGGAAGAAGACAGUGACGGUACCCUGUGAGAAAGUCACGGCUAACUACGUGCCAGCAGCCGCGGUAAUACGUAGGUGACAAGCGUUGUCCGGAUUUACUGGGUGUAAAGGGCGCGUAGGCGGGAUAGCAAGUCAGAUGUGAAAACCACGGGCUCAACCUGUGGCCUGCAUUUGAAACUGUUUUUCUUGAGUACUGGAGAG
This 305-nucleotide ribosomal RNA is filed under the name uncultured bacterium. RNAcentral's name for it is "bacterial SSU rRNA". It matches the Rfam family "Bacterial small subunit ribosomal RNA", at positions 337 to 656 of the family's 1533-position model. The record is from RNAcentral.